UGUGGUUAGUUGCCAGCAAGUAGCGUUGGGCACUCUAGCCAGACUGCCGGUGAUAAAUCGGAGGAAGGUGGGGACGACGUCAAAUCAUCAUUGCCCUUUAUGUCCUGGGCUACACACGUACUACAAUGGCCGUUACAACGGGAAGCGAAGGAGCAAUCCGGAGCAAAUCCCUUAAAAGGCGGUCCCAGUUCAGAUUGUGGGCUGAAACUCGCCCACAUGAAGGCGGAAUUGCUAGUAAUUGCAGAUCAGCAUGCUGCAGUGAAUACGUUCCCGGGCCUU
RNAcentral lists this ribosomal RNA (279 nucleotides) under uncultured Arthrobacter sp. RNAcentral describes it as "partial 16S ribosomal RNA". It matches the Rfam family "Bacterial small subunit ribosomal RNA", at positions 1106 to 1382 of the family's 1533-position model. Lineage: Bacteria; Bacillati; Actinomycetota; Actinomycetes; Micrococcales; Micrococcaceae. The record is from RNAcentral.